CCAGUAGUGGAUUUACUUUCAGAUUCAGACACACAGCUCUUUACCAGCUGAUGGCCCAAUGAUGAAAACAUUGUUGUUGCUGCUUCUCUUGUGUCAUGUUUCAUCAUCAGUGAAACACUCCCUGAAGUUUUACUUCACUGCCUCCUCCGGAGUCCCAAACCUUCCAGAGUUUAUGUUUGUUGGACAGGUUGAUGACAUCCAGGUGGUUCACUGUGAUGGCAGCAACAAGAUAUUAGAACCAAGACAGGACUGGAUGAAAACAUUUGUUCAUGACAAUCCUCACGUCUGGGAAGGGGGCAAGCAGCAGUGUUCUGAGGUUCAACCUCCCCGCUUCAAAAUCUGGAUGAACGGUUUGAUCCAGCUCUCCAACCACAGUGAAGGUUCAGGUAUUCACAUUUUACAGAGGAUAGAAGGUUGUGAAUGGGAUGAAACAACUGGACAGUUUACUGGUUUUUCAUGGUAUGGUUAUGGUGGAGAAGACUUCAUUGAACUGGAUCUGAAGACGUUGACGUGGACCGCUCUGAGACCAGAGGCUAACAUUAUCAAACAGAAAUGGGAUGAAGAUACCCUUAGAAUAAAAGACGAUGUGGAAUUCCUCACUCAGAUUUACCCUGAGUGGCUGAAGUUGAUUUUGAAGUAUGGGAACAGCUCUCUGCUGAGAACAGACAUCCCCUCAGUGUCUCUCCUCCAGAAGACUCCCUCCUCUCCAGUCAGCUGCCACGCUACAGGUUUCUACCCUGACAGAGCCAUGAUGUUCUGGAGGAAAGAUGGAGAGGAGAUUCAUGAAGGAGUGGAACAUGGAGAGAUCCUCCCCAACCAUGAUGGAUCCUUCCAGAUGAAUGUUGACCUGGACAUUUCAUCAGUCUCACCUGAAGACUGGAGGAGGUACGACUGUGUGUUUCAUCUCUCUGGUGUGGAGGACGACAUCAUCACCAAACUGGAUGAAACACAGAUCAGAACCAACUGGGGUAAGAGGACAUGAAUGUGGUUAGUUGGAUAUUUAAGGCCUUGUCCUGCAGGUUAGUUGAUCAUUUAUCUAAACAGACUAUGAUGGUGUAAAGAAGAGUUUCGUUUCAUGCAAGUAAAUGAAUUGGAAGGUACCUCUGUUCUAACCUUCUUUAUAUGGACUAUUUUUAACCUUUCAUUUGUUCUUUAUUUAAUAGUGAAGUCCAGUAACAUGACCUCCUCCACCAUCAUCAUCAUCAUCUCUGCAGUGGUUGUUUUUGUUGUUGUCGUCUUUGCAGCAGCUGCUGGAUUCAUGAUUCAUAGAAAGAAACAAGACCAAAAGGCUCCACCUGAUAGUGAAGAAGCUCUGAGCUCUCUGAGAGACUGAAUAUGGCAUCCUAGAGGACAAUGCUUUAUUCUCAUAUUUUAAAGUUUGCAGUAACCUACAUGAAUUCCAGGUGAACUACCAGCAUGUUCCACCAUGUUCUUUUCUUUUGUGGGGCAGAUUCAUCAUAAUUGUGACGUUUACAGGUAGAGAGCAGAUCAAAGUCCAGUGGAACCAGUUAGUGAAAUCACAUUCACAUUAUGUUGUUUUCUAAUCCAGUUGGUCUGGUUCCACCACUGUGGGAUAAAUAUAUUAAUGUUGUUCAUGAGUUUCUCUGUUCACUGUGUUUCUACUACUAUGUGUCAAACUUAAAGUUUACAAUAAGUUCAGUCUAAUUCUGUUGCAUUUCUUCUUUGCAUUCCUAUGUUUGAUUCUGUUGUUAAAGCUAACAUGUUUUACGUUUAUUUGUGUUUUUCUUAAGUAUAGUUUUAUAGUGUCUCCUUUAUAAAUCCCUGUACAAAUAGUACAAAAAGUUUUGUAUUGCUCAGUGUCUAUAUACCUUCCGUUUACACCUGAUGUUGAUGAUGAUGAUGUUUAAAUGUGAGCUCACCUGAACUCUCACAGCAGUGACUUGUGCUCUUGCAGCUCAUUGUAUUGAUUGAACUUUAAUGUGUAUGAAGAUCCUAAUGAAUAUGUUUAAAUGCUGAACCAAUCAUCUGAGCUGGUUUCACUACUGUUGUUCUUUUAGUUAACUUUAAAGAUAAUCAUCAGUAUAUAUGUGGAAUUACAGUCUUGUUGAAGCUGGAUUUGGCAGCAGAUUUCAACAUUUGAAUAUUUUGUUGUUGAAGUUGAGAAGAUGUUUUUCAGUGUGUUCAGUUCUCAGUGUUACCAACACAUGGACACAAGUAGACUGGAGCUGUUUGAGUUUAACAGUCACCUCCCUGAGCCCAAAAGAUGAGUUUUAUUUAGUCCAGUGCCAAAACAAACAGUGACAGAGUGAAUGUAAUGAUAGAACACACCUUAAAAUGAUCCAUGAAGUAUGAGCUCAGUCACAGAACUUGAAACUUUUCUUGUAAUCUUUGUAGUUUUCUUCUUCCAGAUUCCAGGUUUCCUUGAAAUAAUUUAAUCGUGUUUUGUUUCCUGCAGCAAAUUCUUUCCUUCUUCAUCUUGUUGUGUUUAACAAAAAUACUACAAAUCUCUGAACUGUAAAGAUGAAGUUUAAUUUCACAUUUAAUAAAAAAAUGUCUCUUUCCUCACUGUGGAAUAAAUAAAGGAAGAUCUUAUCUUAGCUUAAAUCACCAGUCUAGACUUUAACUGUGUUCUUCUGCUUUACUGGUUCUCGAGUCUCUGUACAGAUCAAGUGGAGUGUUGUGGAAUCAGUUAAUUGAUGGGGUUUAAUUACAGAGCAGGAAAUCACACAAAGUUCCCUUCUCAGUCAGUUGGGCUGGUCAAUGUGGUUAAGUGUGUAAUGUAGUUUCAUGACUAUGUGGUGUCUUCUUAGGUCAAUAUGUGUAAACUCAGGGAUAAGAAACGUCUCUUUCCUCACUGUGGAAUAAAUAAAGGAAGAUCUUAUCUUAGCUUAAAUCACCAGUCUAGACUUUAACUGUGUUCUUCUGCUUUACUGGUUCUCGAGUCUCUGUACUAUGUCAUUCAACAACAGUGCCAGUCUGAUAACCCUCUGCAGAGACAACAGCUUCAAACAGACUGAUGUGGAAAAAUACUGAAUAACCCAUAAUAAAUACAAACAAUAUUA
Mugil cephalus (flathead mullet) is the source of this 3023-nucleotide RNA transcript. It is a transcript of the gene named major histocompatibility complex class I-related gene protein-like, with no coding region annotated. The record is from RefSeq and is a predicted model, not a curated record. Lineage: Eukaryota; Metazoa; Chordata; Actinopteri; Mugiliformes; Mugilidae. The transcript has 6 exons.